GGUGCCGUCGCCAAGUGGUAAGGCAGAGGCCUGCAAAGCCUCCAUCCUCGGUUCAAAUCCGAGCGGCACCUCCA
This 74-nucleotide transfer RNA is filed under the name Acidobacteriota bacterium. RNAcentral describes it as "Acidobacteria bacterium (soil metagenome) tRNA-Cys". It matches the Rfam family "tRNA". From Rfam's summary of the family: Transfer RNA (tRNA) molecules are approximately 80 nucleotides in length. Their secondary structure includes four short double-helical elements and three loops (D, anti-codon, and T loops). Further hydrogen bonds mediate the characteristic L-shaped molecular structure. tRNAs have two regions of fundamental functional importance: the anti-codon, which is responsible for specific mRNA codon recognition, and the 3' end, to which the tRNAs corresponding amino acid is attached (by aminoacyl-tRNA synthetases). tRNAs cope with the degeneracy of the genetic code in two manners: having more than one tRNA (with a specific anti-codon) for a particular amino acid; and 'wobble' base-pairing, i.e. permitting non-standard base-pairing at the 3rd anti-codon position. The record is from RNAcentral. Lineage: Bacteria; Pseudomonadati; Acidobacteriota. RNAcentral also lists the same sequence under 1 other name.